RNAcentral lists this long non-coding RNA (492 nucleotides) under Marmota monax (woodchuck). The record is from RNAcentral. Lineage: Eukaryota; Metazoa; Chordata; Mammalia; Rodentia; Sciuridae.
AUCUGCUCUAGUGCCAUCCAUUUCCCUGCAAAUGCCCUAAAUUAAUUAAAUAGUCUGAAUCAUUUAGAAUAUCAUUUCUCCCCUCCCUCCAUCAAGUUAGCUUUUGUGCUUAUUUUCCUAUCGUUGGGGAUCUAAUUCAUCUGAUAAGAUACAUUUCUAAUAUUUUUUCAGUCAAAUAUCCCGAUGUGAGAUGAAAUAACAACUGAAGACAAUCAGUCUUACAGAUAGAGACGAAUGUAGAGAGACUUUAUAAAUUCAGGUAGUCUCUAGUUGUAAUUUAGUACCAGGAACCUUAAGCUGAGGUCCCUUUAGUCCCAUUCUUAUUUUUUCCAACUUCCUAAAAACACACUCUUCUCUUUUUUCCUAUAGUAGCAGGGAAAGCUGGGCUGCCUAGGUGAAGAUUAGUGAUCUGUACUGUUUGUAUGUUUAGGUCAUUUAUUAAAUGGCAGCAUAGCAUAAUUGUUGAGGUUAAGCUCUCAAGCCCAAUUUCCC